This 253-nucleotide ribosomal RNA is filed under the name uncultured bacterium. Its description in RNAcentral is "partial 16S ribosomal RNA". It matches the Rfam family "Bacterial small subunit ribosomal RNA", at positions 524 to 776 of the family's 1533-position model. The record is from RNAcentral.
UACGAAGGGGGCUAGCGUUGUUCGGAAUCACUGGGCGUAAAGCGCACGUAGGCGGCUUGUUUAGUCAGAGGUGAAAGCCUGGAGCUCAACUCCAGAACUGCCUUUGAUACUGGCAAGCUCGAGUAUGGCAGAGGUUGGUGGAACUCCGAGUGUAGAGGUGAAAUUCGUAGAUAUUCGGAAGAACACCAGUGGCGAAGGCGGCCAACUGGGCCAUUACUGACGCUGAGGUGCGAAAGCGUGGGGAGCAAACAGG